UACGUAGGGUGCGAGCGUUAAUCGGAAUUACUGGGCGUAAAGCGUGCGCAGGCGGUCUGUUAAGACCGAUGUGAAAUCCCCGGGCUUAACCUGGGAACUGCAUUGGUGACUGGCAGGCUUUGAGUGUGGCAGAGGGGGGUAGGAUUCCACGUGUAGCAGUGAAAUGCGUAGAGAUGUGGAGGAAUACCGAUGGCGAAGGCAGCCCCCUGGGCCAACACUGACGCUCAUGCACGAAAGCGUGGGGAGCAAACAGG
This 254-nucleotide ribosomal RNA is filed under the name uncultured bacterium. RNAcentral describes it as "partial 16S ribosomal RNA". It matches the Rfam family "Bacterial small subunit ribosomal RNA", at positions 524 to 776 of the family's 1533-position model. The record is from RNAcentral.